This 205-nucleotide long non-coding RNA is filed under the name Phoenix dactylifera (date palm). RNAcentral's name for it is "long non-coding RNA (PDAC_LNC003190)". Lineage: Eukaryota; Viridiplantae; Streptophyta; Magnoliopsida; Arecales; Arecaceae. The record is from RNAcentral.
AUUUUCCGCUUUUUUACACCUCAUUUAUUUAAAUACCCCAGCCGCCCAGCACAGCCACCCAAAUUGCUCUCUCUCUCUCGCCCCUCUUUCUUCUCUCUCUCGCCCCUCUUGAAGGGGAAAAAAGAAAAAAAAUUCUCAUCCCACCACAGAAGCAAAGGAGAGGAACAAGAAACCAGAAGCAGCAUCAGUGCGGCAGAGGAGAUCA